Molecule: ribosomal RNA, 321 nt
Filed under: Triticum aestivum (bread wheat)
Lineage: Eukaryota; Viridiplantae; Streptophyta; Magnoliopsida; Poales; Poaceae
Description: partial small subunit ribosomal RNA
Source: RNAcentral
AUGUGUCUCAGACCUAAGUUUUUGCCGCUGGACCGUGGUUACGUUCAUCCUAGCUUGGAGGCAACGGUGUGGGUGGGUAUGCAUGUGCAAGGCGAAGAAGUGGACGAAGGCCGAAGAAGCAAUCUCUGCCUCCCUAUCGCUGCGUCCUGCUCCUCAAUAUGUCACCUUAGUCAUGGCCGCCUUAUCCCUCAUGCUGCUGAUUUGAACCUACCCUACUCUUCUUCUCCUAGACUGCUCGAGCGCUUCAGCGGUGCCUCGCUGACGACAGGGAAGGAAGGAUCAGAAGUGACGGCUAUAGCCCUAGGAAUUUGGAAACCAUAG